GCGGCGGCGUCCUAACCGGUAUGCGCUUACUGGCGCGACUGUUCCCGGGCGCCCUCGCUUGCUAGGGGAGUGACACUCUUGUCGUGCGCCCCAGAGUGUACUGAUCUUUUGCUGACUGUAGGCCAAGGAACAUGUUGUUGGGUCCCACUCAGCGUGGAAGCUUGGCCUUGUUGGUGAUUGGAAAAACUACAUUGGAAAAAGGACACAGCGCAAAAAAAGACAAAGACACGAGAGAGCGACACGCACACAGCGCUACUCUACUACUCUACCCUACUCUUACUUCUCGUGUAAUUGUCAUUGAAGACGAUGUCCGUCCAAUAAAGAGAGUGGGUGUUGUGCGCCUUACAAGAGUGCGCUGACACUCAAUUAAACCUGA
Molecule: long non-coding RNA, 376 nt
Organism: Dermacentor andersoni
Lineage: Eukaryota; Metazoa; Arthropoda; Arachnida; Ixodida; Ixodidae
Source: RefSeq, a predicted model, not a curated record